UGGGGAAUCUUGCGCAAUGGGCGAAAGCCUGACGCAGCCAUGCCGCGUGAAUGAUGAAGGUCUUAGGAUUGUAAAAUUCUUUCACCGGGGACGAUAAUGACGGUACCCGGAGAAGAAGCCCCGGCUAACUUCGUGCCAGCAGCCGCGGUAAUACGAAGGGGGCUAGCGUUGCUCGGAAUUACUGGGCGUAAAGGGAGCGUAGGCGGAUAGUUCAGUCAGAGGUGAAAGCCCAGGGCUCAACCUUGGAACUGCCUUUGAUACUGGCUAUCUUGAGUUUGGGAGAGGUGUGUGGAACUCCGAGUGUAGAGGUGAAAUUCGUAGAUAUUCGGAAGAACACCAGUGGCGAAGGCGACACACUGGCCCAAUACUGACGCUGAGGCUCGAAAGCGUGGGGAGCAAACAGGAUUAGAUACCCAGGUAGUCCCUGAGCGGGCUGGCAAGGCGCAU
This 447-nucleotide ribosomal RNA is filed under the name uncultured bacterium. Its description in RNAcentral is "bacterial SSU rRNA". It matches the Rfam family "Bacterial small subunit ribosomal RNA", at positions 355 to 825 of the family's 1533-position model. The record is from RNAcentral.